RNAcentral lists this ribosomal RNA (433 nucleotides) under uncultured bacterium. Its description in RNAcentral is "partial 16S ribosomal RNA". It matches the Rfam family "Bacterial small subunit ribosomal RNA", at positions 29 to 507 of the family's 1533-position model. The record is from RNAcentral.
AACGAACGCUGGCGGCAUGCCUAACACAUGCAAGUCGAACGAGACCUUCGGGUCUAGUGGCGCACGGGUGCGUAACGCGUGGGAACCUGCCCUUAGGUUCCGAAUAACUCCCCGUAAGGGGACCUAAUACCGGAUAAUGUCUUCGGACCAAAGAUUUAUCGCGUUUGGAUGGGCCCGCGUUGGAUUAGCUAGUUGGUAGGGUAAAAGCCUACCAAGGCGACGUUCCAUAGCUGGUCUGAUAGGAUGAUCAGCCACACUGGGACUAAGACACGGCCCAGAAUGGUAGGGGAGGGAGCGGUGGGGAAUAUUGGACAAGGGGCGAAGGCGUGAUCCAGCAAUGCCGGGUGAGUGAUGAAGGCGUUAGGGUUGUAAAGCUCUUUUACCCGGGAUGAUAAUGACAGUACCGGGAGAAUAAGCUCCGGCUAACUCCGUG